GGGAUUCCCCCAGUAAGGGCGACUGAACCGGGAAGAGCCCAGCGCGUAACCUCGCGUCCCAGCCGGCGCGAGGGGUGUCGCGUUUCGGAGGGUCCGGCACGCCGCGCCACACCGCCUAAGUCAAGCUUGAAAGCGGCCACUACCCGCGGAGGGUGACAGGCCCGUGUGGCGGCGCCCGCGAGGGCAAGGCUGGCGCGGUCGGAAAGGGCCUCUCCGUAGAGUCGGGUUGCUUAAUAAUGCAGCCCAAAGCAGGUGGUAAACUCCAUCUAAGGCUAAAUAUGACCACGAGACCGAUAGCGAACAAGUACCGUGAGGGAAAGUUGAAAAGAACUUUGAAGAGAGAGUUCAAGAGUACGUGAAACCGUUAAGAGCCAAACGGAUGGACCCUCGAAGGUCGAACCUGGGGAUUCAGCUCGUCGGCCGCCGGCCGGGCGCGGGUGUUCGUUAACUCGUAGCGACCCGAGAGAGCUCGGGCGCGCUCGCGUCCGUUCGCCGGCGUCGGCGGGCGUAUUUCCCCUGGUAGUAGGGCGCCGCGACCCGUCGCUGGGGACGUCCAAGGCUCCGGCGGACUGGUACCCCGCCUCCGACCGGGCGCCCUCCGUGGCGUUUUUCCGGCGGGGCGGGCGAAACCGCCGGGCGACCUGGCUGCCCUGCGACGGUCGUAGAGACGAGCCCUCCCCUCCGCGGGCGGGCUCUCGCGGCGUGCAAAAAGAUCGGUGCUCCAUCCGACCCGUCUUGAAACACGGACCAAGGAGUCUAACAUGUGUGCGAGUCAGUGGGCGCACUAAACCCAAAGGCGUAAUGAAAGUGACAGGCCCGGCGGCCGCGUCGUGUUCGCACGGCGCGGCCGUCGGCGCCGGGGCCGAUCCCCCGCCGGCUGCCUGCGGCCGUCCCCUUGCGUCCCGGCACUGCCAGGUGAGCCAGUUUCCCUGGCCCCUGCCGGGUCGCUGUCCGCGGGGGCGGCCGGAGCGCGAGGGCGCGUGAGACAUUCAUCCUGUUCGCAGGGGGGCGCAGGCCCGGGACUUGCCAGGACGCCGCAGCCGCGCGCCGCCGCCAGGCCUCGCGCCGAGCGGCGGCCGCACCCGCGUGCAGUCGGCAAGUACCACGAGCAGACAUGUUGGGACCCGAAAGAUGGUGAACUAUGCCUGGCCAGGAUGAAGCCAGAGGAAACUCUGGUGGAGGUCCGUAGCGAUUCUGACGUGCAAAUCGAUCGUCUGAGCUGGGUAUAGGGGCGAAAGACUAAUCGAACCAUCUAGUAGCUGGUUCCCUCCGAAGUUUCCCUCAGGAUAGCUGGAACUCGCAGGAUGAAUUUCAUCCGGUAAAGCGAAUGAUUAGAGGUCUUGGGGACGAAACGUCCUCAACCUAUUCUCAAACUUUAAAUGGGUGAGAUGCCGAGCUUGCUUGAACGCUGAAGCUUCGGCGAUUAAUCUGAGUGUCUAGUGGGCCAUUUUUGGUAAGCAGAACUGGCGCUGUGGGAUGAACCAAACGUCGAGUUAAGGGGCCUAAAUGAAUGCUCAUUCAGAUCCCAUCGAAAGGCGUUGGUUGCUAUAGACAGCAGGACGGUGGCCAUGGAAGUUGGAAUCCGCUAAGGAGUGUGUAACAACUCACCUGCCGAAGCAACUAGCCCUUAAAAUGGUAUGGCGCUCAAGCAUUCUCCCGAUACUCGACCGCCGGGGCACUAGCGGCCACGCUCCAGAGGCGAGGUCUCGAGGCCCCGGUGAGUAGGAGGGUCGCAGUGGUGAGCGCUGAAGGGAUCCGGCGCGAGCCGGCCUGGAGCCGCCACUGGUGCAGAUCUUGGUGGUAGUAGCAAAUACUCGAGAGAGACUCCCUUGAAGACCGAAGUGGAGAAGGGUUCCAUGUGAACAUCAGUUGGACAUGGGUUAGUCGCUCCUAAGCCCAAGGCUAAGGCCUGAUCCCACGCUAGCGGCAACGGCCAACCGACGUGUGUGUGUGUGUGUGCGCGCGGGGGCGCGGGGACGCCUGCCUCGCGGCGGGCGGCUCGCGCCCCCGUCGCUUGCUGGCCGUGCAGAGGGGUGGGCCGCGGUGCGUGCGUGUGAGGGCGGUGGCCGUCUGUGCUCUCGCCCCACCACCGCCGCCCGCGACGCCUCUCUGGGGCCGAGAACGCUCUUGUGGUGUUGCCCGGGAUUAGUGGCGAAAGGGAAUACGGUACUUAUUCCGUAACCAGGACUCGGAUACCAAGCAGGCGCAAGCGCCCGCAACGGAAUGCUGCCCUGUGGAGGACCCCGGUAACGGGAACCAGCUCGCGUCCGCCGGCGGUGGUCCGGGAAAGAGUUUUCUUUUCUGUUUAAGGCGCCGUGACCCUGGAAGCCAUUCGCAGAGAGAAAGGG
RNAcentral lists this ribosomal RNA (2348 nucleotides) under Samastacus spinifrons. Its description in RNAcentral is "eukaryotic LSU rRNA". It matches the Rfam family "Eukaryotic large subunit ribosomal RNA", at positions 71 to 1746 of the family's 3401-position model. The record is from RNAcentral. Lineage: Eukaryota; Metazoa; Arthropoda; Malacostraca; Decapoda; Parastacidae.